RNAcentral lists this non-coding RNA (226 nucleotides) under Hymenobacter sp. Lineage: Bacteria; Pseudomonadati; Bacteroidota; Cytophagia; Cytophagales; Hymenobacteraceae. The record is from RNAcentral.
CUAUCUUUGUCCCGUCAAGGUGCCAGACCCCAAUUGCGGGGCGCGGCUGAAAAGGGAAUCCGGUUCAACGCCGGAGCUGUCCCCGCAACUGUACGCUCCACAACGGAGUGGGCCUCACAUGCCACUGUUCGCGCCUGGUUUUCAACCCGAAAACCGGCGCAGUGAAUGGGAAGGCGGCCCACUCGGCGGAGCAAGCCAGGAGACCUGCCCGGACAUUCACAGGUUC